CGGGGCGUGGCGCAGCCCGGCUAGCGCGCUUGCAUGGGGUGUAAGAGGUCCCGGGUUCAAAUCCCGGCGCCCCGA
This 75-nucleotide transfer RNA is filed under the name Chloroflexota bacterium. RNAcentral's name for it is "Chloroflexi bacterium tRNA-Pro". It matches the Rfam family "tRNA". Rfam says of the family: Transfer RNA (tRNA) molecules are approximately 80 nucleotides in length. Their secondary structure includes four short double-helical elements and three loops (D, anti-codon, and T loops). RNAcentral also lists the same sequence under 3 other names. Lineage: Bacteria; Bacillati; Chloroflexota. The record is from RNAcentral.